UUUUUCCUGCCACCGAAUACAUUAGCAUGGGAUAAUGGAAUAGCGACCCUGACCUCCUAUUUUCAGUUGGUUUUGUUUACAGCGAGGUUAUAUCAGGGUAAUGAUUAAUAGGGAUAGUUGGGGGCAUUAAUAUUUAAUUGUCAGAGGUGAAAUUCUUGGAUUUAUGAAAGAUUAACUUCUGCGAAAGCGUUUGCCAAGGAUGUUUUCAUUAAUCAAGAACGAAAGUUAGGGGAUCGAAGACGAUCAGAUACCGUCGUAGUCUUAACCAUAAACGAUGCCGACCAGCGAUUAGGAGACGUUGAAUACAAAACACCGCUGUUAAUCCUUUCGGGGGUUAAUAGUUGGUGAAUGACUCCCUAGCAGCUUGUGG
Molecule: ribosomal RNA, 370 nt
Filed under: Acanthamoeba sp.
Lineage: Eukaryota; Discosea; Longamoebia; Acanthamoebidae
Description: SSU rRNA
Rfam family: Eukaryotic small subunit ribosomal RNA
Source: RNAcentral